UACGAAGGGGGCUAGCGUUGUUCGGAAUUACUGGGCGUAAAGCGCACGUAGGCGGAUAUUUAAGUCAGGGGUGAAAUCCCAGAGCUCAACUCUGGAACUGCCUUUGAUACUGGGUAUCUUGAGUAUGGAAGAGGUAAGUGGAAUUGCGAGUGUAGAGGUGAAAUUCGUAGAUAUUCGCAGGAACACCAGUGGCGAAGGCGGCUUACUGG
RNAcentral lists this ribosomal RNA (209 nucleotides) under uncultured bacterium. RNAcentral describes it as "partial 16S ribosomal RNA". It matches the Rfam family "Bacterial small subunit ribosomal RNA", at positions 524 to 732 of the family's 1533-position model. The record is from RNAcentral.